Molecule: long non-coding RNA, 2970 nt
Filed under: Homo sapiens (human)
Lineage: Eukaryota; Metazoa; Chordata; Mammalia; Primates; Hominidae
Description: non-protein coding lnc-KNSTRN-2:1
Source: RNAcentral
GAUAUAGUCUGUUACCAUGGGAAAACCAUCCUUCCAUGGCUGUGGUGAUUUGGGGACUUUUAGAGUGACAGUGUUAGACAGACUGAUUUUAUUGGCUGAAUCUUAGAUUUUACUGAUAUAUAGCAUAUCCCAUACCAUGAUAUGCGGGCAAUAUUCCAGCUUGAGACAAUUUUUUUUUUUUUUUUUUGAGACAGAGUCUUGCUCUGUCGCCCAGGCUGGAGUGCAGUGGCACAAUUUCGGCUCACUGCACUAAUUUUUUGUAUUUUUAGUAGAGACAGUAGAGUAUUUUUAGUGUUAGCCAGGAUGGUCUCGAUCUCCUGACCUCAUGAUCCGCCUGCCUCGGCCUCCCAGAGUGCUGGGAUUACAGGCAUGAGCCACCGCGCCUGGCCGAGACAAUUUUUAAAAAGACAUUUCUCAAGAGAGUUAUAAGCCAAAAUUUCCCUAGCCCCCUCCAACUCAUUCUGUCCUUCUCCCAGUGCAUGUCAGGACAGGGAAGAAGGCUUUAAAUCAGAUUUUAAGAAAGAGGAUACAUUGGUUUACAACCUUUGCCUAUCGUCCAGAGAGUUUCUGAUCUUUUCUUUUUUUUUGAGACGGAGUCUUGCUCUGUCGCCCAGGCUGGAGUGUAGUGGCACGAUCUUGGCUCACUGCAAGCUCUGCCUCCCAGGUUCACGCCAUUCUCCUGCCCCAGCCUCCCGAGCAGUUGGGACUACAGGCACCUGCCACCACGCCUGGCAAAUUUUUUGUAUUUUUAGUAAAGACGGGGUUUCAUUGUGUUAGCCAGGAUGGUUUCGAUCUCCUGACCUUGUGAUCCGCCCACCUCGGCCUCCCAGAGUGCUGGGAUUACAGGUGUGAGCCACUACACCCGGCCCUGAUCUUUUCUUUGACGGUGGCAGUAUCUCAUUUUUUGAUAAUACACAUGGGUAAUGGCAAGCUCUUGGGACCCCAUGCCAAGCAUCAAGAUCCCAUUUACCUGGUGAUAGGAAAGACAGACAUUCCUCACCCUUUCUACCCACACCCUUGUUCACAGGGAUGACUGUAACUAAGGUCUGCAGGUAUUUAUGCUUAGGAGAAGAAAUCGUAGUUCAAUUCACCAGGAAUAUGAGAAACAAAAGAAAGCCACUAUGUGCUAUGUAAAUGUCUGGCCAUCCAAAGCCACCUUAUGCAGAGGAACACUGGAAGGGCCUUGAUAAAUUUCUCAUAAUUAUUAUCGGGCCUCUUUGUGAUUACUCACAUUUUUCUCAAUAUAGGGGAAAGAUCAGCAUUUUACCAAAUCCACAACCAUCAAACAAACAAGAGCUUUAAUAUUGCUAAAGAAAAUCACACAGCUGAGCAGAUUGAUGUAGAUUUGAAUUCAUGACCACCUAUCUUAACUGGACCCUCAGCUCUGCCUAGCUAGUAUUCAUUCUAGCUACUAGUUUUGAUUAUUUGUAUUGACUCUUUUAUAUUUUCUCCACCUUCCUCAAAUAUCUCACCUUCCCCCACCCCUCAGUGGACAAAAAAAAAAAAAAAAUUCUUCAUGAAGAAAACUGAAGCCUUCAAAUAGAAAUUUCCUCACCUUCAAGGCACCAAAGCCACAACUUACCUACCCCCGCUCCUGCCUGCUCCUCUCCCCAUCCCUUCUGCUACAACGAAGGAAGCAGUAAUGGCUCCAUCAAUGGCUUCUCACACUUGGUGUCAGAGGCCUUCACACGAGGGUUUGCACUCCCCUACAAGGACAUGAAGACUUUCUAGAAGCCAAGAUGGAGGAGCAGGGGCCAAGUUUAUCCUCCUGCCUGAAACAACCAACCAAACAGUAAAUACAUGAAAUAAUGAGUUUCAAGACACUGGACAUGAGGUAACAAAAGACAGUGAUCUCUCAGAGGCAAGAAACAAACAAGGAGAACCCCUCGGUUGCCCAGCUUACCGCUUGAGAGGAUGUAUUUCACGGAGGGAGAACCCAGGCAAAGCAAGUGACUCUGAGGUGAGGGGAUAGCUGGGAGUGUGGAGCAGCCAAGCUGGCUAGAGUGCUCAGGACAGGGUACUGGAGAGGAGAAAGGUGGAUAUAUAGAGAAUUCUGGGGAUCUGCAAAGGGCCCCCCUUGAGUGUUCCACAGAGCAUGAUUCAUCAUAUAAGUGUAAGGAAACCACUUGAGACAAAGGAAAGGACCACCCAAAACAAUGGGCCGGAACAGUAGCCAGAAGUCACACACAGCCUGGACCACGCCUGUCCCCAUCAGCCAGAUUGGAAAACCUCAAAUUUAUGGAGCAUUGGUCAGAGGUCUCAGAAGGGCCUUGCCUCGUAGUGGGGAUUCAUUAGCCCUAGUUUAAACAUUGCUGGAACCUACCUAACAAAUCUCAAAAGCAAGACCUGAAUUCAGGAAUCAAGCUGUUUCUAAGUAACUGAAGUGUAUCCCAGAACAAAACCCAAGAACAUUAACAGAAAUCCAAAAUUAACGAGCACCCAAAAAUGUAAAAUUCACAAUGGCUGGUUUUCCAAUAAAAAAUUACCAGUCAUGCAAACUAUAACCCAUCAUAAGGAGAAAAAUCAGUUGAAACCACUACAGCUGACACCUAUGUGAGAAUUAGACAAGGACACUAAAAGAAUUAUUAUAACUGUAUUCCAUAUGUACUAAGUAGAGACUAGGAAGAUAUUUUUAAAUACCCACUUUGAAUUUUAGAGACGAAAACUAAAAUGUCUGAGAUGAUGGGGUGGGUGGGGUAGGCAGAAAGAGGAGGAUGGGAAGAAGUACCAAGGGGAAGGAGGAAUGAUUUGGGGAUGACGGCUGUGUUUAUUAUCUUAAUUGUGGUGAUGGUUUCACAGGUAUAUGUAAUUUCUAAACUUAUCAAAUUGUACACUUAAAAUAUGUGGUCUAUGGAAUGUUAAUUAUAUCUCAAUAAAGCUGUUAAAAUUGUACUGAAACAAAACCAUUGGGGGAAACUGGGUAAAGAGUCCAAAGGACCUCCCUAUACUAUCAUUGUAACUUCCUGUCAA